This 496-nucleotide ribosomal RNA is filed under the name uncultured bacterium. RNAcentral's name for it is "partial 16S ribosomal RNA". It matches the Rfam family "Bacterial small subunit ribosomal RNA", at positions 28 to 506 of the family's 1533-position model. The record is from RNAcentral.
GAUGAACGCUGGCGGCGUGCCUAAUACAUGCAAGUCGAGCGAACGGACGAGAAGCUUGCUUCUCUGAUGUUAGCGGCGGACGGGUGAGUAACACGUGGAUAACCUACCUAUAAGACUGGGAUAACUUCGGGAAACCGGAGCUAAUACCGGAUAAUAUUUUGAACCGCAUGGUUCAAAAGUGAAAGACGGUCUUGCUGUCACUUAUAGAUGGAUCCGCGCUGCAUUAGCUAGUUGGUAAGGUAACGGCUUACCAAGGCAACGAUGCAUAGCCGACCUGAGAGGGUGAUCGGCCACACUGGAACUGAGACACGGUCCAGACUCCUACGGGAGGCAGCAGUAGGGAAUCUUCCGCAAUGGGCGAAAGCCUGACGGAGCAACGCCGCGUGAGUGAUGAAGGUCUUCGGAUCGUAAAACUCUGUUAUUAGGGAAGAACAUAUGUGUAAGUAACUGUGCACAUCUUGACGGCACCUAAUCAGAAAGCCACGGCUAACUACGU